Molecule: ribosomal RNA, 80 nt
Filed under: Campylobacterota bacterium
Lineage: Bacteria; Pseudomonadati; Campylobacterota
Description: Epsilonproteobacteria bacterium (hydrothermal vent metagenome) partial 16S ribosomal RNA
Rfam family: Bacterial small subunit ribosomal RNA
Source: RNAcentral
UUUUUAUGGAGAGUUUGAUCCUGGCUCAGAGUGAACGCUGGCGGCGUGCUUAACACAUGCAAGUCGAACGAGAACGGCCC